Molecule: ribosomal RNA, 2063 nt
Filed under: human gut metagenome
Description: bacterial LSU rRNA
Rfam family: Bacterial large subunit ribosomal RNA
Source: RNAcentral
AGAUAGCUGGUUCUCCUCGAAAUAGCUUUAGGGCUAGCCUCAUGGAUCAUUGGUGGGGGUAGAGCACUGAAUGUGCGCGGGGGCCACAAAGCCUACCAAACGCUAUCAAACUUCGAAUACCAUACAAUGCAGACCAUGGGAGUCAGUCCGCGAGAGAUAAGUUCCGCGGGCAAAAGGGGAACACCCCAGAUCAACCGCUAAGGUCCCCAAGUUCACGUUAAGUGGAGAAGGAUGUGGAAUUGCACAGACAACCAGGAUGUUGGCUCAGAAGCAGCCACACAUUUAAAGAGUGCGUAAUAGCUCACUGGUCGAGUGAUUGUGCGCCGAAGAUGUCCGGGGCUAAACGUGACACCGAAGCGAUGGGUGCAUCUGAAGAAGAUGCGCGGUAGAGGAGCAAUGUGCAGAGGCAGAAGCCGUAUCGAGAGGCACGGUGGACACUGCACAAGAGAGAAUGCCGGUAUGAGUAGCGAGAGGCAUGCGAGAAACAUGCCCGUCGAAAGCCCAAGGUUUCCUGGGGAAGGUUCAUCCGCCCAGGGUAAGUCGGGGCCUAAGCCGAGGACGGAAGUCGUAGGCGAUGGACAGCAGGUGUAGAUUCCUGCACUACCGAUGGAAUGAAGCAGUGACACAGAAGGAUAACUCGAGCAGGGUGAUGGUCAACCCUGUGCAAGCAUUGAGGUUGGGUUGUAGUGAAGUACGCAAUCCUAUAAGCUGAGAUGUGAUGCGGACCGAAAUUUCAGUAGGGAAGCGAGUGAGUUCACGCUGGCGAGAAAAGCUGCUAGUACAUCCAAAGGUACCCGUACCGGAAACCGACGCAGGUGGGCGAGGAGAGAAUCCUGAGACGAACGGGAGAACCCUUGUUAAGGAACUCGGCAAAAUGACCCCGUAACUUCGGGAUAAGGGGUGCCUGCGAGAGCAGGCCGCAGAGAAUAGUCACAAGCGACUGUUUAGCAAAAACACAGGUAUCUGCGAAAGCGAGAGCUGACGUAUAGGUGCUGACACCUGCCCGGUGCUGGAAGGUUAAGGGAACAUGUUAGAGCAAUCGAAGCAUCGAACCGAAGCCCCAGUAAACGGCGGCCGUAACUAUAACGGUCCUAAGGUAGCGAAAUUCCUUGUCGGGUAAGUUCCGACCCGCACGAAUGGUGUAACGAUUUGGGUACUGUCUCAACAAGGGACCCGGCGAAAUUGUAGUAUGUGUGAAGAUGCACAUUACCCGCGAUAGGACGGAAAGACCCCGUAGAGCUUUACUGUAGUUUAACAUUGGAUUCCGGUAACAUAUGCACAGGAUAGGUGGGAGGCGGAGAAGCAGUGAUUUCGGUUGCUGCAGAGCCGACGUUGGGAUACCACUCUUGUGUUACUGGGGUUCUAACCUGUGGCCGUGAUCCGGCACAGGAACAGUGUUAGAUGGGCAGUUUGACUGGGGCGGUCGCCUCCAAAAGAGUAACGGAGGCGUCCAAAGGUUCCCUCAGAAUGGUUGGAAACCAUUCGAAGAGUACAAAGGCAGAAGGGAGCCUGACUGCGAGACCGACAGGUCGAGCAGGGACGAAAGUCGGGCUUAGUGAUCCGGCGGUAUAGAGUGGAAUUGCCGUCGCUCAACGGAUAAAAGCUACCUCGGGGAUAACAGGCUUAUCUCCCCCAAGAGUCCACAUCGACGGGGAGGUUUGGCACCUCGAUGUCGGCUCGUCGCAUCCUGGGGCUGAAGCAGGUCCCAAGGGUUUGGCUGUUCGCCAAUUAAAGCGGCACGCGAGCUGGGUUCAGAACGUCGUGAGACAGUUCGGUCCCUAUCCAUCGUGGGCGCAGGAGAUUUGAGAAGAGCUGUCCUCAGUACGAGAGGACCGGGAUGGACGCACCAAGGGUGUAUCAGUUGUCACGCCAGUGGCACAGCUGGGUAGCCAAGUGCGGAUCGGAUAAACGCUGAAGGCAUCUAAGCGUGAAGCCGACUUCAAGAUAAGAUCUCCCAUCCGCAAGGAGUAAGGCCCCAUGUAGACCACAUGGUUGAUAGGUCGCAGGUGGAAGUGCAGUAAUGUACGCAGCUGAGCGAUACUAAUAGGCCGAGGGCUUGAUCA